CCUACGGGUGGCAGCAGUGGGGGAUAUUGCACAAUGGGGGAAACCCUGAUGCAGCGACGCCGCGUGGGUGAAGAAGCGCCUCGGCGCGUAAAGCCCUGUCAGCAGGGAAGAAAAUGACGGUACCUGAAGAAGAAGCCCCGGCUACCUACGUGCCAGCAGCCGCGGUAAUACGUAGGGGGCAAGCGUUAUUCGGAUUUACUGGGUGUAAAGGGGGCGCAGACGGCGAUGCAAGCAAGGAGUGAAAGCCCGGGGCCCAACCCCGGGACUGCUCUUGGAACUGCGUGGCGAGAGUGCAGGAGGGGCAAGCGGAAUUCCUGGUGUAGCGGUGAAAUGCGUAGAUAUCAGGAGGAACACCGGUGGCGAAGGCGGCCUGCUGGACUGCAACUGACGUUGAGGCCCGAAAGCGUGGGGAGCAAACAGGAUUAGAUACCCGAGUAGUC
This 440-nucleotide ribosomal RNA is filed under the name uncultured bacterium. RNAcentral describes it as "partial 16S ribosomal RNA". It matches the Rfam family "Bacterial small subunit ribosomal RNA", at positions 338 to 795 of the family's 1533-position model. The record is from RNAcentral.